RNAcentral lists this ribosomal RNA (305 nucleotides) under uncultured bacterium. Its description in RNAcentral is "bacterial SSU rRNA". It matches the Rfam family "Bacterial small subunit ribosomal RNA", at positions 334 to 656 of the family's 1533-position model. The record is from RNAcentral.
UGUUCCUACGGGAGGCAGCAGUGGGGAAUAUUGCACAAUGGGGGAAACCCUGAUGCAGCAACACCGCGUGAAGGAAGACGGUUUUCGGAUUGUAAACCUCUGUCCUCUGUGAAGAUGAUGACGGUAGCAGAGGAGGAAGCUCCGGCUAACUACGUGCCAGCAGCCGCGGUAAUACGUAGGGAGCGAGCGUUGUCCGGAUUUACUGGGUGUAAAGGGUGCGUAGGCGGCUUGGCAAGUCAGUAGUGAAAUCCAUGGGCUUAACCCAUGAACUGCUAUUGAAACUGUCGAGCUUGAGUGAAGUAGAG